This is a long non-coding RNA of Monopterus albus (swamp eel), 724 nucleotides long. RefSeq lists it as uncharacterized. Lineage: Eukaryota; Metazoa; Chordata; Actinopteri; Synbranchiformes; Synbranchidae. The record is from RefSeq and is a predicted model, not a curated record. The transcript has 5 exons.
GUUUGGUCUCUUUCAUUGCUACAGGAAACUUAGUUACCCAACUGCAAGAGCGGGAAGAAGAGGAGACAACCCCCUGCAGUACCAGAUAUUUAGAGAUUUAUAUCGAAUAUAUGAAGGGUGAACGGGUGUGCCUUUAAAAGAACACGCCUCACAGCCUUCAUCUGGGAUGGAUUGCAUUUGAUUAACUACUAGGUCCAGUGUGGCUUAGUCAUGUUUCAUCAUCAAGUGGGGGCGACAGCACAGUACCUAAGCAGAAUAAAUGAUUCACAGGUUCACUGUGCAGCUGAGUCAUCAGCUGGUCCAUCUGCCAGCGGUGUAUCAGGUCCUGGGACAGCAAUGUCUGUGGCAUCCUCUCUGGCUUGUCAGAUUGUUCCUGCAGCUGAGACACCAAACAGCACUUCAGGCCAGACACCAGGUCCAUCCACCAGAGAUAAGUCAAGUCCUGUAAAGACAGUGACUGUGGUAAACUCCAGAUGCUGGUGAAACAUAUACUCCACUCCUGCCCUCACAUCUGUCUCCAUCUCUUUCUCUGAUCCUGAUAAAGUUUCCUGUCUCAGCAUCCGAGACUGACCUUGUUGGAAAGUGUCACAUCACAAAAGAUGAACAAAUGGUUGCCCAUCUGUACAGGAAGAGAAAAUGAGAGCUAAAGAUACAGCUUUUUGUGCGAGUGUGUUCGUGUGUGUGCUGAUUAUUUCCGGUCUCAGGUAUAUCCACAGGUCCUGGA